ACGAGAGGCCCAAACGUUAUUCGGAAUCACUGGGCUUAAAGAGUUCGUAGGCGGUCUGGAAAGUUGGGUGUGAAAUCCCUCGGCCUAACCGAGGAACUGCGCUCAAAACUACCAGACUUGAGGAAGAUAGAGGUAAGCGGAACUGAUGGUGGAGCGGUGAAAUGCGUUGAUAUCAUCAGGAACACCGGAGGCGAAGGCGGCUUACUGGGUCUUUUCUGACGCUGAGGAACGAGAGCUAGGGGAGCGAACGGGA
This 253-nucleotide ribosomal RNA is filed under the name uncultured prokaryote. Its description in RNAcentral is "partial 16S ribosomal RNA". It matches the Rfam family "Bacterial small subunit ribosomal RNA", at positions 525 to 777 of the family's 1533-position model. The record is from RNAcentral.